This 390-nucleotide ribosomal RNA is filed under the name uncultured bacterium. RNAcentral describes it as "bacterial SSU rRNA". It matches the Rfam family "Bacterial small subunit ribosomal RNA", at positions 29 to 418 of the family's 1533-position model. The record is from RNAcentral.
AUUGAACGCUGGCGGCAUGCCUGACACAUGCAAGUCGAACGGCAGCGCGGGUAGCAAUACCUGGCGGCGAGUGGCGGACGGGUGAGGAAUACAUCGGAAUCUACCCAGUCGUGGGGGAUAACGCAUCGAAAGGUGCGCUAAUACCGCAUACGACCGAGAGGUGAAAGCGGAGGACCGAAAGGCUUCGCGCGAAUGGAUGAGCCGAUGUCGGAUUAGCUAGUUGGCGGGGUAAGAGCCCACCAAGGCGACGAUCCGUAGCUGGUCUGAGAGGAUGAUCAGCCACACUGGGACUGAGACACGGCCCAGACUCCUACGGGAGGCAGCAGUGGGGAAUAUUGGACAAUGGGCGCAAGCCUGAUCCAGCAAUGCCGCGUGUGUGAAGAAGGCCUU